GCAGUAGACGCUGAGAGAGGAGCUUGCUCUUCUUGGAUGAGUUGCGAACGGGUGAGUAACGCGUAGGUAACCUGCCUUGUAGCGGGGGAUAACUAUUGGAAACGAUAGCUAAUACCGCAUAACAAUGGAUGACACAUGUCAUUUAUUUGAAAGGGGCAAUUGCUCCACUACAAGAUGGACCUGCGUUGUAUUAGCUAGUAGGUGAGGUAACGGCUCACCUAGGCGACGAUACAUAGCCGACCUGAGAGGGUGAUCGGCCACACUGGGACUGAGACACGGCCCAGACUCCUACGGGAGGCAGCAGUAGGGAAUCUUCGGCAAUGGGGGCAACCCUGACCGAGCAACGCCGCGUGAGUGAAGAAGGUUUUCGGAUCGUAAAGCUCUGUUGUAAGUCAAGAACGAGUGUGAGAGUGGAAAGUUCACACUGUGACGGUAGCUUACCAGAAAGGGACGGCUAACUACGUGCCAGCAGCCGCGGUAAUACGUAGGUCCCGAGCGUUGUCCGGAUUUAUUGGGCGUAAAGCGAGCGCAGGCGGUUUGAUAAGUCUGAAGUUAAAGGCUGUGGCUCAACCAUAGUUCGCUUUGGAAACUGUCAAACUUGAGUGCAGAAGGGGAGAGUGGAAUUCCAUGUGUAGCGGUGAAAUGCGUAGAUAUAUGGAGGAACACCGGUGGCGAAAGCGGCUCUCUGGUCUGUAACUGACGCUGAGGCUCGAAAGCGUGGGGAGCGAACAGGAUUAGAUACCCUGGUAGUCCACGCCGUAAACGAUGAGUGCUAGGUGUUGGAUCCUUUCCGGGAUUCA
Molecule: ribosomal RNA, 800 nt
Filed under: Streptococcus salivarius
Lineage: Bacteria; Bacillati; Bacillota; Bacilli; Lactobacillales; Streptococcaceae
Description: bacterial SSU rRNA
Rfam family: Bacterial small subunit ribosomal RNA
Source: RNAcentral